Gambusia affinis (western mosquitofish) is the source of this 4265-nucleotide long non-coding RNA. RefSeq lists it as uncharacterized. Lineage: Eukaryota; Metazoa; Chordata; Actinopteri; Cyprinodontiformes; Poeciliidae. The transcript is spliced from 2 exons. The record is from RefSeq and is a predicted model, not a curated record.
AGCAAAACAAAAUUACAUUAAUUAAAUAAAAAGUAAACAAGAACAUGUGUUGGUUGCAGCAGCAUCUUCUCAAAAUAAAUCUACACAGGGUAAAAUUCCAAAUUACUGGCAAAACUCUAAUCAUACUGGGGGGGGAACUGGUUCCUCCUCCUGCUUUUUCUUUUUUAUAUCCUCAAACAGAUACAGAGCGUUUCCUCGUGGACGGGGAUGGCGUUUGGCUGGAUGUGGAUGGGAGCCAUGGGGCAAGGUCACGGAGCACGAGGCCAAGGGCCAAAGGACCGUGACACGUGCUACCAGUGCUGACAUUUUGGACACUGGGUCAAACACUGUGUGAACAUACCAAAGACUGCCAGGUAUGAUGCCCAACAAUCCUUAUGUGAUUCCUGGACAUUGCUUUCAGGGGAAUACUGAGGCCACACAGAACAUCUACUGAAACACUGCUGAGGACCCCGGAGACAAUGUGGGUACAGCAGACCCCAUGUUGUCUGCAACAGUGGAAGGAAAGCACACAGACUUCCUGGUUGACACUGGAGCCACACAUUCCACUCUGAACUCUGCUUCACCUUUUCUCUGACAUCAAGAACUGUGUCUUUAACAGGGUUCUCAGGGACUGAACAGUCUGCUAUUCACGAUGCCUCUGACCUUCACCUUGGGUAAUCAGAAUAUGAAACAUUCUUUUCAGCCUAAUGUCAACGUUCUUGGCCUGGAAGCCCUGGCUCCUGUGUCUGCGCUUCUGUGUUCCUCCUCCGGAUCCACCAUGCGCGGCCCUGUUCUGCGACAGAGACGUAUCUGAAUGGUACCAGGAACCUUUCCUUUCCACUUUGGAGGAAACAACCUGGCAGGUAAAAGUCUCGGACAUUUAUGUAGCUCCUGUUGGUGUAGCUGCUGCUGUCUCUCUCACAGAAAAACAAUCAGAAUGGUAUUAAAUGUCUCACAUUUCUCUCUGUUUGCACCCUGAGCACCAAGUGAAAAAAUUGGGCGUGAUGAUGAAACGUUCCCUGGCAGCCACAGAUUCGAUUGCCACAGCAGCACUAGGUUUGUUUUCCUCCCAUACUCUUUACACAUGUAAUAUCUGUCAUUCAGGGUCUGAUCACAUAAUAAGUCUUAAAGGAAAAUGUACUGCAAUUUUCCAUAAAUCAGUGACCUUAGACAUUCUGAUGAGGCUCCUUGGUUUGUAAAAGUAACAAUCUUCAAACAUAUUUGUCAGCAUAUCUACAUUUCUUAAUUAAAUGGUUUUCUUUAUAUUGUUUGGUAAGAUAUUCCGAUUUAAUCUGUCAUAUUUCCAUUAACUGUAAGCAUAAAAUUAUUGUCAUUACUAGACUUAAAGACUUUAGUUAUGUGUUUCACUUUUUGAACUGAUUUACUAAAAUAAAUUAACAUUUAAUAUGCAAUGCAUAAAAAUAUUUUUAACGUUGAAUGUUCCCUCAUAAUGGAAUCGAUUUUAGUUUAACCAGGUUUUGCAAGAUAUUUUGCAGGACUGCCCACUAGACCUUUUGCUUGCUGCACCAGUAACAGAGACCUGCGUUAAAGCCACCUCUCUGGUUUUGCAGUGCCUGCGUCAAACAGAUUUUAAGGUCAGUAAAAGCAGAUUGCUCGAAAACAGGCUAAGUUUCUGGGUAGAAUAAUUUCAGCAGGAACGACUGGCAUGUCCCCAUGGAACAAGCUUUUGUCUCUCUCAAACAACACAUGGCGUCGGCUGCAGAGCUGUCCAUCCCUGAAUACACUUUACAGUUCUUUGAGGAUAUUUCUGGAACAAAACUGACUGUUUUGUUUCAGAAAAAGGGGGAGGAAAAGGGCAUCACCCUUGUACACAACAGGCAGCUGGGAUACCUGCUGCCUGAUACAAAAACUGAACACAUAGUCAUGGGACAUUCACUGAGUUUCACCAUGACAGCGUUGAGGCAACAAACACUUUCCAAAGUCCUGAAAGCUCCAAACAUUUCAUUCACACACCAAGACAUAAAUAUGGCAGACUGUUUUUCAGAAGGAGAACCACAUGUGUGUGCAGACCUGGUGGCAAAGACAGACAAGGUAACACCAGGACUUCAGCAGCUCCUCUGCUGGGACCAGAGGUGAGACAGUUCUUUACAGAUGGUUGUUGUUUCAGAAACAACACACAAGGGUUAAGAGCCUGGAAGAGGUGGUGAGAUGUCAAAAGGGGGCGUCACCUGAAGAGAAAAACGUGAAACAAAUGGGUGCUGGAGGGGCCCAGAUGGCAGGUUAAUUCUGCCUCCUGGGAAAAUAGGAGAGCUGCUCCAAGAAGCUCACAGGGUUGGAUAUGUUGGGACGAAGCAGAUGAUGCACAAUCUUAAAGAGUGGUGGCACCCCCAAAUGAUCCACAUGGUGAAACAUUUUGUUAAGAAUUGUUCGGUGUGCGGACAGUUCAACCCUAAGAAAACUUUGAACCCACAUCAGGGACAGUUUCCUCCAGUCACAUGUCCAGGGAAAGAAAUUGUGUUGGAUUUUACUGACAUGAUAAACCCGGUGCAAGACAAAAAUAUUUGCUGAUUUGUGUUGAUGCUUUCACAGGAUGGCCUGAAGCCUGGCCAGCAACAGCAGAAGAUAGUAAAAUCAUCAUAAAAUGUCUAAUCAAUCAUUACCUCCCAAGGCAAAGCAGAAUGAAUGAAUCAAAAUUUAAAACAAAAUUGGCUAAGGUUUGUGCACAAACAAAAUUAAAUUGGGUCGAUACAUUACACAGGAACCAACUUGUGGUUAGACUGAUUAACUGCAACAGCACGAUAAUAUCAAAUGUCUAACUGUGUGACCUGCACAGCUGGACGACCCAGAAUCUAUACUGAACCUGCUUCUUUGAUUCCAUCUGACAUUUGGGGUUUUAACUGCAUGUUUAAUAUGACUAAGUUUAAACAGCCCUCUGGAUGUGACACUUUAACAGCUUUAUUUCCAGUAAUCAACAGCGGAGCCCGGAUGGUGCCGCUAUUCCAGUUAAAGAUAACUAUGUCUAUUUCAAUUUUACAACAGGUAACCGCAGUGUGGGCCGGAUCCCUGAAAGUUGGUGUAACAUCACAUUCCCACAGCACUUAAUAGGCUAGAGAUGGGAUAUUUUAUCUAUGCAGGGGUAAUAAACUAAUUGAGAGAAUAUAGACUGGUGUGACAGGUGUCUGUGCUAUGGUGAGACUUAGAGCCUGUGUCAUCAUGGUAGGUGAACAACAACCUCUGAAUCACAGCAUCUUUUCACAGGUCAAGUGCAGCGCAACUGUGGAGCUGCAACUUUCCAGAUUUUAAAUGUAAAAGUCCAAUCCUUUCUCGGUGUGCCUGGAUGAAAAUGAGGCAUCUGGACACACGUAGAAACUGGUUGACAUUAACAGAUACUAGACGACAAAAUUUUGAAUUAAGUUUGCAGAUCUCAUUAAAAUAAAUUAAUCCUGUUGACUUCUUAAGAUUUGGCCAGUAUCAUUACAUUGUGUUAAGACUGAAUUUUUAUCUAAAACAUUGAUUGCCAAGUUUAAAAUGUGUUUUCAUUUUGUUCACUAAACAUAUUUCUUUUCAGAUGAUAAGUUUGUAUCCCUUUAUGACCACUAACUACUUUCAUAUUUUGAACUUAAAGAUUUCACCUCUCGAGUACUAAAAGGGAUCUUAACAAUACUUUGUUUAGGAUUUUAUUUGUCAGUAUUAUAUCUAACAUUUAAUCAUUUAUCCUAUUUUCAUUAAGUUUUGACUUAUUGAAGCUUGCAUAUUGACUAACAUUUUAUUCAUUUUGCAUUAUUCAAUUUAUAGUUUACCGGCAUUCACAGUAUUAACCUCACAUUGUAUUCUAUUUACAUUUUAUUGUUUGUUCACGUUUCACUAAUUAAAAAAAAAAAUUAAUAAUAAUAAUAUAAGAAACGGAUUUCAAAUGCCGGCUUCACUUUCUAACAUUUAUUUUUAAAUUUACUCUUUUAACUCAUUAAUUUCACUUUAUUCAUUCAAAUUGCACAUUUGAAUGCAAGUGUGCAAUUCAAACCGGUUCGACAUUGAUAGGGUUUGCUAGAAGACAUUGCCUUGAUUAAACUUUGUAGAUCGCAUUACAACUCAAUACUACUGAAUUCUAAUGAAUCUUCUAGAAUAAUUACAUUGUACUUCUACUGAAUUUUUGAAAAUAACAUUGAUUUGCAUAUUUCAAAUGUGCUUGUCUCUUAUUCUGUGCAUUGCACAUGGUUUUCAUCUAAAAAAAGGGAUCUGAAAAUUUCUUUGUUUACGUUUAAAAUUUUUAAGCAUCAUCUAACAAUUAUUCAUUUUAAGGUUUAUCUUCUUGACUUUUGGUUUAA